Anthonomus grandis grandis is the source of this 578-nucleotide long non-coding RNA. RefSeq lists it as uncharacterized. Lineage: Eukaryota; Metazoa; Arthropoda; Insecta; Coleoptera; Curculionidae. The record is from RefSeq and is a predicted model, not a curated record. The transcript is spliced from 3 exons.
GACAUUAAUUCUGAUUGUCAGAUCCAAAAUAAAUUUAAGAAUGGAGAAGAACAUAUAUUAUACAAUUAUAACAGGAGCGACAUUAAAAGAUUCAAUAUCUCAUUUAAAAGGAGAUGACACAAUAGAAAGGCCAAACUUGGUAACAAGAGGUAACGUGGCAUAUUUGAUAAGGAAAUAUAAUGUUGACAAGAAAAGAGACCAUUAUGAUAUGGUAGCCACUGCUUUAAGAAUUAAUGGGAAAGGAAAAAAUGGCUAAGGGAAAAAUUAUGCUUUGUUUUCAAAUGAAUUGAGCGCCGAAAACCUAACUGAAUUGCUUCAAAACGGAGAUGGAAUGAUGAGGGACAGACCCUCUGUGAAUAUCUUUAUUUAUGAAAAUGUAUAAAGAAAAGUUUUUUUUUUCUUUCAUGGUACUACAAAAAAAAUCUGUUAAAUGGAAGGUUGGGCUGUUCGUGACCGGCAGAGAUGACAAUGCUAGCUGAAGAAGUGCUACAGACCAAGCAUGAUGGAUUUAGUUUCUUCUCUACCAUUUUAGUUUAAAGUUGUUAUUAUUUAAUAUAAUACAUUUUGACCAAUCUUAA